This 465-nucleotide ribosomal RNA is filed under the name Vreelandella stevensii. RNAcentral's name for it is "partial 16S ribosomal RNA". It matches the Rfam family "Bacterial small subunit ribosomal RNA", at positions 338 to 795 of the family's 1533-position model. Lineage: Bacteria; Pseudomonadati; Pseudomonadota; Gammaproteobacteria; Oceanospirillales; Halomonadaceae. The record is from RNAcentral.
CCUACGGGUGGCUGCAGUGGGGAAUAUUGGACAAUGGGCGAAAGCCUGAUCCAGCCAUGCCGCGUGUGUGAAGAAGGCCUUCGGGUUGUAAAGCACUUUCAGUGGGGAAGAAAGCCUUGGGGCUAAUACCCUCGAGGAAGGACAUCACCCACAGAAGAAGCACCGGCUAACUCCGUGCCAGCAGCCGCGGUAAUACGGAGGGUGCGAGCGUUAAUCGGAAUUACUGGGCGUAAAGCGCGCGUAGGCGGUCUGAUAAGCCGGUUGUGAAAGCCCCGGGCUUAACCUGGGAACGGCAUCCGGAACUGUCAGGCUAGAGUGCAGGAGAGGAAGGUAGAAUUCCCGGUGUAGCGGUGAAAUGCGUAGAGAUCGGGAGGAAUACCAGUGGCGAAGGCGGCCUUCUGGACUGACACUGACGCUGAGGUGCGAAAGCGUGGGUAGCAAACAGGAUUAGAUACCCUUGUAGUC